RNAcentral lists this ribosomal RNA (430 nucleotides) under Staphylococcus aureus. RNAcentral describes it as "partial 23S ribosomal RNA". It matches the Rfam family "Bacterial large subunit ribosomal RNA", at positions 195 to 623 of the family's 2925-position model. The record is from RNAcentral. Lineage: Bacteria; Bacillati; Bacillota; Bacilli; Caryophanales; Staphylococcaceae.
GAAACAUCUUAGUACCCGGAGGAAGAGAAAGAAAAUUCGAUUCCCUUAGUAGCGGCGAGCGAAACGGGAAGAGCCCAAACCAACAAGCUUGCUUGUUGGGGUUGUAGGACACUCUAUACGGAGUUACAAAGGACGACAUUAGACGAAUCAUCUGGAAAGAUGAAUCAAAGAAGGUAAUAAUCCUGUAGUCGAAAAUGUUGUCUCUCUUGAGUGGAUCCUGAGUACGACGGAGCACGUGAAAUUCCGUCGGAAUCUGGGAGGACCAUCUCCUAAGGCUAAAUACUCUCUAGUGACCGAUAGUGAACCAGUACCGUGAGGGAAAGGUGAAAAGCACCCCGGAAGGGGAGUGAAAUAGAACCUGAAACCGUGUGCUUACAAGUAGUCAGAGCCCGUUAAUGGGUGAUGGCGUGCCUUUUGUAGAAUGAACCGG